CCUACGGGAGGCAGCAGUGGGGAAUAUUGCACAAUGGGGGCAACCCUGAUGCAGCAACGCCGCGUGAGUGAAGAAGUGUUUCGGUAUGUAAAGCUCUAUCAGCAGGGAAGAAAGUGACGGUACCUGAUUAAGAAGCCCCGGCUAACUACGUGCCAGCAGCCGCCGUAAUACGUAGGGGGCAAGCGUUAUCCGGAUUGACUGGGGGGAAAGGGAGCGUAGGUGGCGGCGCAAGGCUGAAGUGAAAGGCCGGGGCUUAACCGCGGAACUGCUUUGGAAACUGUGCAGCUAGAGUGCAGGAGAGGUAAGUGGAAUUCCUAGUGUAGCGGUGGAAUGCGGAGAUAUUAGGAGGAACACCAGUGGCGAAGGCGGCUGACUGGACUGUAACUGACGUUGAGGCUCGAAAGCGUGGGUAGCAAACAGGAUUAGAUACCCGUGUAGUC
RNAcentral lists this ribosomal RNA (440 nucleotides) under uncultured bacterium. Its description in RNAcentral is "partial 16S ribosomal RNA". It matches the Rfam family "Bacterial small subunit ribosomal RNA", at positions 338 to 795 of the family's 1533-position model. The record is from RNAcentral.